This 825-nucleotide ribosomal RNA is filed under the name uncultured archaeon. RNAcentral describes it as "bacterial SSU rRNA". It matches the Rfam family "Archaeal small subunit ribosomal RNA", at positions 496 to 1319 of the family's 1478-position model. The record is from RNAcentral.
CACUAUUAUUGGGUCUAAAGGGUCCGUAGCCGGUUUAAUCAGUCUUCUGGGAAAUCUAAUCGCUUAACUAUUAGGCUUCCAGGGGAUACUGUUAGACUUGGGACCGGGAGAGGUAAGAGGUACUGCAGGGGUAGGAGUGAAAUCUUGUAAUCCCUGUGAGACCACCAGUGGCGAAGGCGUCUUACCAGAACGGGUCCGACGGUGAGGGACGAAAGCUGGGGGCACGAACCGGAUUAGAUACCCGGGUAGUCCCAGCUGUAAACGAUGCUCGUUAGGUGUCAGGAACGGUGCGACUGUUUCUGGUGCCGAAGGGAAGCCGUGAAACGAGCCACCUGGGAAGUACGGCCGCAAGGCUGAAACUUAAAGGAAUUGGCGGGGGAGCACUACAACGGGUGGAGCCUGCGGUUUAAUUGGACUCAACGCCGGAAAACUCACCGGGGGCGACAGCAAUAUGUAGGUCAGGUUAAAGGUCUUACCUGAAUCGCUGAGAGGAGGUGCAUGGCCGUCGUCAGUUCGUACUGUGAAGCAUCCUGUUAAGUCAGGCAACGAGCAAGACCCGUGCCCACUGUUACCAGCAUAUCCUUUAUGGAUGAUGGGGACUCUGUGGGGACCGCUGCUGCUAAAGCAGAGGAAGGUGCGGGCUACGGUAGGUCAGUAUGCCCCGAAUCUCCCGGGCUACACGCGGGCUACAAUGGUUGGGACAAUGGGUAUCUACUCCGAAAGGAGUUGGCAAUCUCUUAAACCCAAUCGUAGUUCGAAUUGAGGGCUGUAACUCGCCCUCAUGAAGCUGGAAUCCGUAGUAAUCGCGUUUCAACAUAGCGCGGU